GAUGAAGAACGUAGCGAAAUGCGAUAAGUAAUGUGAAUUGCAGAAUUCAGUGAAUCAUCGAAUCUUUGAACGCAUCUUGCACUCCUUGGUAUUCCGAGGAGCAUGCCUGUUUGAGUGUCAUUAAAUUCUCAACUACACUGACUUUGAAUUGGUGUGGCUUGGAUUUGGGGGGAAAAUUGUUGUGGGCUUUUUGUAUAGUCUGCUCCCCUGAAAUUGAUUAGCGGUACCUUUGUGGAACUGUCUACAGGUGUGAUAAUUAUCUACAUCUUAGACAUCUGCUGGAAUGCUGCUUUCUAAACCUUACUUGUAUUGACAAUCUUGACCUCAAAUCAGGUAGGACUACCCGCUGAACUUAAGCAUAUCAAUAAGCGGAGGA
RNAcentral lists this unclassified non-coding RNA (376 nucleotides) under soil metagenome. RNAcentral describes it as "partial contains 5.8S ribosomal RNA, internal transcribed spacer 2, and large subunit ribosomal RNA". The stretch from base 1 to 120 matches the Rfam family "5.8S ribosomal RNA", at positions 35 to 154 of the family's 154-position model. The record is from RNAcentral.